RNAcentral lists this unclassified non-coding RNA (398 nucleotides) under soil metagenome. Its description in RNAcentral is "partial contains 5.8S ribosomal RNA, internal transcribed spacer 2, and large subunit ribosomal RNA". The stretch from base 1 to 122 matches the Rfam family "5.8S ribosomal RNA", at positions 35 to 154 of the family's 154-position model. The record is from RNAcentral.
GAUGAAGAACGUAGCGAAAUGCGAUACUUGGUGUGAAUUGCAGAAUCCCGUGAACCAUCGAGUCUUUGAACGCAAGUUGCGCCUCAAGCCAUUAGGUUGAGGGCACGUCUGCCUGGGCGUCACAUAUCGUUGCCUGAUGCCAGUUUCCUCGUGAUGGGUGACUGUGCAGGGCGAAUGAUGGCUUCCCGUGAGCAUUGUUGCCUCAUGGUUGGUUGAAAAUUGAGUCCUUGGUAGGGAGCGCCGUGAUAGAUGGUGGUUGAGUGACGAACGAGACCGAUCAUGUGCAUGCUCCCCAAAAUAUGGCCUCUGUGACCCACACGCGUCUUUUGACGCUCAUGACGAGACCUCAGGUCAGGCGGGGCUACCCGCUGAAUUUAAGCAUAUCAAUAAGCGGAGGA